Molecule: unclassified non-coding RNA, 89 nt
Filed under: Pseudomonas kilonensis
Lineage: Bacteria; Pseudomonadati; Pseudomonadota; Gammaproteobacteria; Pseudomonadales; Pseudomonadaceae
Source: RNAcentral
UGUGGGAGCGGGCUUGCUCGCGAAGGCGGCGUGUCAGAUACGUCAAUGUCAACUGACACACCGCCUUCGCGAGCAAGCCCGCUCCCACA